UCCAUUAAGAAUAAGCAAAGCGCUCUCUGCCUCUCCAUUUUCUCUCCAAUACUAACAAAAAAGAAAAUAUGAGAAUCCACCACGGCGGUACAUGAAGAACAAGAGGGAGGUGGUAAAGAACACUGCAGCUCCGGCGAGUUUUCCGUCCGACCUCAAUGUGCAUUAGAUAGUAGUGUAAACGAAAUUGAUAGCCUACAAGAAUUUGCAUUGAAAUAUUUUUGGAGGGUUAAGGGAGCAAUGACGUUUCUGUCACGACUGAGAAUCGCAGAUUUGUAACGUAAAUGUAAUGGCUGAAAACAACUCUGAAGCCAACCCUGGCAGAUUUAGGCUCAGACGUGUAUCCCAAACCGCGUCGGUAUGACGUGAGAGGGCCGCAACCAGAACUACUAGGUUGUGGGUUGAUUGUGGGUUGAUGAUAACUCACUUUAUGGUGCGCAACCAUCUUGUUCGCAAUGCCUAGGUUCACUAUCACCUGGUUUUAUUUCUCGUAGCGACCUACUUGUGCAUCCACUUCACGGGGCCAUGAGUUCCUAGAUGAUGUUGAAUCCCCUAAAGCUCCGGAGGAAGCCAUUGUCGAUUCCUUAUUAGAUAGUUAUCCAAGAGUCUCAUUUGACACCUCUUUACUUCAUCUCUAUACAGACUAUGCUGCUAGGCAUGUUUAGGAAUGAGAGUUAUAUUUUUUUUUUCCUUUUGCAAUACAUAUAUUUUCAACUAAUUAAAUCGAUACUGAUGGUGAUAUUUUAUUUUUACAA
Molecule: long non-coding RNA, 752 nt
Organism: Lathyrus oleraceus (garden pea)
Lineage: Eukaryota; Viridiplantae; Streptophyta; Magnoliopsida; Fabales; Fabaceae
Exons: 3
Source: RefSeq, a predicted model, not a curated record